RNAcentral lists this ribosomal RNA (476 nucleotides) under uncultured bacterium. RNAcentral's name for it is "bacterial SSU rRNA". It matches the Rfam family "Bacterial small subunit ribosomal RNA", at positions 33 to 507 of the family's 1533-position model. The record is from RNAcentral.
ACACGCUGGCGGCGUGCCUAACACAUGCAAGUCGAACGAGAAUCGAUGGAUAGAGGCUUCGGCCAAUUGAAGUUGAGGACAGUGGCGGACGGGUGAGUAACACGUGAGCAACCUGCCUUUCAGAGGGGGACAACAGUUGGAAACGACUGCUAAUACCGCAUAACGUAUUGAGGGGGCAUCCCUUUGAUACCAAAGAUUUUAUCGCUGAAAGAUGGGCUCGCGUCUGAUUAGCUAGUUGGUGGGGUGACGGCCUACCAAGGCGACGAUCAGUAGCCGGCCUGAGAGGGUGACCGGCCACAUUGGGACUGAGACACGGCCCAAACUCCUACGGGAGGCAGCAGUGGGGAAUAUUGCACAAUGGGGGAAACCCUGAUGCAGCGACGCCGCGUGAGUGAAGAAGUAUUUCGGUAUGUAAAGCUCUAUCAGCAGGGAAGAAAAUGACGGUACCUGACUAAGAAGCCCCGGCUAACUACGUG